Molecule: non-coding RNA, 92 nt
Organism: Entelurus aequoreus (snake pipefish)
Lineage: Eukaryota; Metazoa; Chordata; Actinopteri; Syngnathiformes; Syngnathidae
Source: the annotation of a RefSeq genome assembly
GGUAGACGGAGUUUGUGUGGCCGAGUGGUCUAAGGCGCUGGAUUUAGGCUCCGGUCUCUCAGGAGGCGUGGGUUCGAAUCCCACCACUGCCA